RNAcentral lists this ribosomal RNA (447 nucleotides) under uncultured bacterium. RNAcentral describes it as "partial 16S ribosomal RNA". It matches the Rfam family "Bacterial small subunit ribosomal RNA", at positions 331 to 795 of the family's 1533-position model. The record is from RNAcentral.
CCAGACUCCUACGGGAGGCAGCAGUAGGGAAUUUUGCGCAAUGGGGGAAACCCUGACGCAGCAACACCGCGUGAAUGUUAAGCCCUUCGGGGUGUAAAGUUCUGUCAAUAGGGACGAAUUUUGACUGUACCUAUAAAGGAAGCACCGGCUAACUCCGUGCCGGCAGCCGCGGUAAUACGUAGGGAGCGAGCGUUGUCCGGAAUUACUGGGUGUAAGGGGAGCGUAGGCGGGAUAUCAAGUUGAAUGUGAAAUCUACCGGCUCAACUGGUAGGCUGCGUUCAAAACUGAUAUUCUUGAGUGAAGUAGAGGUUGGCGGAAUUCCUAGUGUAGCGGUGAAAUGCGUAGAUAUUAGGAGGAACACCAGUGGCGAAGGCGGUCAACUGGGCUUUUACUGACGCUGAGGCUCGAAAGCGUGGGGAGCAAACAGGAUUAGAUACCCUUGUAGUG